RNA transcript from Scaptodrosophila lebanonensis, 645 nucleotides. RefSeq lists it as uncharacterized. Lineage: Eukaryota; Metazoa; Arthropoda; Insecta; Diptera; Drosophilidae. The transcript has 3 exons. The record is from RefSeq and is a predicted model, not a curated record.
UAAUGUUUCUGACGAACAAUCACAAUAUUUAACUAGAAAAGCUGAUUUCAAUCGCAUUUAUAUAAAUCCCUAUUAUAUGGACAACUGUUGUGGCGGUCAGGUGCAAAGUGAAAGCAUCUACAACAUGCUGCAGGCUCUAGUCGACUCCAAAGUGAUCAACGUGCAGUUGUUUACGAUUGCUGUGGGAAUUUUCUUUAUGGUGCUGCUAUGGAGGCGCUCAAGGAAAUACUCGCCCCUCGUUUAGUGUUUAAUUAGCCUAUAUUUAAAUGUAAUAGUGUAGCACUGUGACGUCAUCGAAAAUACUGACCAAAUGUGUGAAGGUUGAUUUAGGCACGAACUGGUUUCGCCUUUGUUUCGAUUCAGUUUAGUAACGGAUUUAUAUAAUUUGUACAAAAGCCCAAGAAAUUCUUGCUUUAUUUUGAACAAUUAUUAUGUUACAAAAUUUGAGGUCUAUGAUUUUAUGGGAUGUCGAUUAUGGGUAAUGGCAGUGCGCAUUUUUAUGUAUAAUCUUGUAUGCCUUUGUCUCUUGCUCGCUGGGCAUUAGCAUGGUUGCUGGCGCUCUUAUAGGAAUGGGCCUCAUGCAACUUAUCGUGUCCUGCACCCUUAGCAUGCUCCUUCGCCAUACCAAACGGAUUGUGGUAAUAU